This 253-nucleotide ribosomal RNA is filed under the name uncultured bacterium. RNAcentral's name for it is "partial 16S ribosomal RNA". It matches the Rfam family "Bacterial small subunit ribosomal RNA", at positions 524 to 776 of the family's 1533-position model. The record is from RNAcentral.
UACGAAGGGGGCUAGCGUUGUUCGGAAUCACUGGGCGUAAAGGGCGCGUAGGCGGCUUUAUAAGUCGGGGGUGAAAGCCUGUGGCUCAACCACAGAAUUGCCUUCGAUACUGUUUGGCUUGAGACCGGAAGAGGUAAGUGGAACUGCGAGUGUAGAGGUGAAAUUCGUAGAUAUUCGCAAGAACACCAGUGGCGAAGGCGGCUUACUGGUCCGGUUCUGACGCUGAGGCGCGAAAGCGUGGGGAGCAAACAGG